RNAcentral lists this ribosomal RNA (173 nucleotides) under uncultured bacterium. RNAcentral describes it as "partial 16S ribosomal RNA". It matches the Rfam family "Bacterial small subunit ribosomal RNA", at positions 336 to 526 of the family's 1533-position model. The record is from RNAcentral.
CUCCUACGGGAGGCAGCAGUGGGGAAUUUUGCGCAAUGGGGGAAACCCUGACGCAGCAACGCCGCGUGGAGGAUGAAGCCCCUUGGGGUGUAAACUCCUUUCGAUCGGGAAGAUAAUGACGGUACCGAUAUAAGAAGCCCCGGCUAACUUCGUGCCAGCAGCCGCGGUAAUAC